CACGCCGCGUGAGUGAUGAAGGCUUUCGGGUCGUAAAACUCUGUUGUUAGGGAAGAACAAGUACGAGAGUAACUGCUCGUACCUUGACGGUACCUAACCAGAAAGCCACGGCUAACUACGUGCCAGCAGCCGCGGUAAUACGUAGGUGGCAAGCGUUAUCCGGAAUUAUUGGGCGUAAAGCGCGCGCAGGCGGUUUCUUAAGUCUGAUGUGAAAGCCCACGGCUCAACCGUGGAGGGUCAUUGGAAACUGGGGAACUUGAGUGCAGAAGAGAAAAGCGGAAUUCCACGUGUAGCGGUGAAAUGCGUAGAGAUGUGGAGGAACACCAGUGGCGAAGGCGGCUUUUUGGUCUGUAACUGACGCUGAGGCGCGAAAGCGUGGGGAGCAAACAGGAUUAGAUACCCUGGUAGUCCACGCCGUAAACGAUGAGUGCUAAGUGUUAGAGGGUUUCCGCCCUUUAGUGCUGCAGCUAACGCAUUAAGCACUCCGCCUGGGGAGUACGGUCGCAAGACUGAAACUCAAAUGAAUUGACGGA
Molecule: ribosomal RNA, 533 nt
Filed under: Bacillus sp. (in: firmicutes)
Lineage: Bacteria; Bacillati; Bacillota; Bacilli; Caryophanales; Bacillaceae
Description: bacterial SSU rRNA
Rfam family: Bacterial small subunit ribosomal RNA
Source: RNAcentral